CGCCUUGCCAGCCCGCUCAGAAACUUAAAGGAAUUGACGGGGGCCCGCACAAGCGGUGGAGUAUGUGGUUAAUUCGAUGCAACGCGAAGAACCUUACCUGGUCUUGACAUCCCGGAGACCCUUAGGAAACUAGGGGGUGCUUCCAUCUGGAAGAAUCUGGAGACAGGUGCUGCAUGGCUGUCGUCAGCUCGUGUCGUGAGAUGUUGGGUUAAGUCCCGCAACAAGCGCAACCCUUGCCUUUAGUUGCCAGCAGUUCGGCUGGGCACUCUAAAGGGACUGCCGGUGUUAAACCGGAGGAAGGUGGGGAUGACGUCAAGUCCUCAUGGCCUUUAUGACCAGGGCUACACACGUACUACAAUGGCCGAUACAAAGGGCAGCGACACUGCGAGGUGAAGCCAAUCCCGUAAAAUCGGUCUCAGUCCGGAUUGGAGUCUGCAACUCGACUCCAUGAAGUUGGAAUCGCUAGUAAUCGUGGAUCAGCAUGCCACGGUGAAUACGUUCCGGCUU
RNAcentral lists this ribosomal RNA (507 nucleotides) under uncultured Desulfobulbus sp. Its description in RNAcentral is "bacterial SSU rRNA". It matches the Rfam family "Bacterial small subunit ribosomal RNA", at positions 903 to 1381 of the family's 1533-position model. Lineage: Bacteria; Pseudomonadati; Thermodesulfobacteriota; Desulfobulbia; Desulfobulbales; Desulfobulbaceae. The record is from RNAcentral.